RNAcentral lists this ribosomal RNA (564 nucleotides) under Klebsiella variicola. Its description in RNAcentral is "bacterial SSU rRNA". It matches the Rfam family "Bacterial small subunit ribosomal RNA", at positions 113 to 660 of the family's 1533-position model. The record is from RNAcentral. Lineage: Bacteria; Pseudomonadati; Pseudomonadota; Gammaproteobacteria; Enterobacterales; Enterobacteriaceae.
AUGUCUGGGAAACUGCCUGAUGGAGGGGGAUAACUACUGGAAACGGGCAAACUAAAUACCGUCAUUAACCGUCGUCAAAGACCCGAGAGAGGUGGGUACCUUCGGGCCUCUUGCCAUCGGAUGUGCCCAGAUGGUGAUUAGCUUGUUGGUGAGGUAAAGGCUCACCAAGGCGACGAUCCCUAGCUGGUCUGAGAGGAUGACCAGCCACACUGGAACUGAGACACGGUCCAGACUCCUACGGGAGGCAGCAGUGGGGAAUAUUGCACAAUGGGCGCAAGCCUGAUGCAGCCAUGCCGCGUGUGUGAAGAAGGCCUUCGGGUUGUAAAGCACUUUCAGCGGGGAGGAAGGCGGUGAGUUUAAUAAGCUCACCGAUUGACGUUACCCGCAGAAGAAGCACCGGCUAACUCCGUGCCAUCAGCCGCGGUAAUACGGAGGGUGCGAGCGUUAAUCGGAAUUACUGGGCGUAAAGCGCACGCAGGCGGUCUGUCAACUCGGAUGUGAAAUCCCCGGGCUCAACCUGGGAACUGCAUUCGAAAGUGGCAGGCUAAAGUCUUGUACAGGGGG